This 310-nucleotide ribosomal RNA is filed under the name uncultured bacterium. RNAcentral describes it as "partial 16S ribosomal RNA". It matches the Rfam family "Bacterial small subunit ribosomal RNA", at positions 503 to 807 of the family's 1533-position model. The record is from RNAcentral.
AAGAGACAGCAGCAGCCGCGGGAAUACGGAGGGUGCAAGCGUUAAUCGGAAUUACUGGGCGUAAAGCGCACGCAGGCGGUUUGUUAAGUCAGAUGUGAAAUCCCCGAGCUUAACUUGGGAACUGCAUUUGAAACUGGCAAGCUAGAGUCUUGUAGAGGGGGGUAGAAUUCCAGGUGUAGCGGUGAAAUGCGUAGAGAUCUGGAGGAAUACCGGUGGCGAAGGCGGCCCCCUGGACAAAGACUGACGCUCAGGUGCGAAAGCGUGGGGAGCAAACAGGAUUAGAUACCCGCGUAGUCCCUGUCUCUUAUAC